Molecule: long non-coding RNA, 460 nt
Filed under: Homo sapiens (human)
Lineage: Eukaryota; Metazoa; Chordata; Mammalia; Primates; Hominidae
Description: non-protein coding lnc-COX5B-2:2
Source: RNAcentral
GAGCUGGGCUGGUGUGCGCGCGGCCGGAGUCUGUGGAGCUGGAAAUUCACCGGUCCAGGAAGACGUCUUUCCCGCGUCCCAGCACCGGUCCAGAAAGACGUCUUUCCCGCGUCCCAGCACCUCGGGCCACGCUCCUUCGUGAGAGCGCCCUCUCCAAGGAGGCCGGCCCUGGAUAUUUCACCCAAAAUAUUUAUUUUUUCUUUUUUUCUAGCUGGAGUGCAGUUGCCUGAUAUCAGCUCACUGCAACCUCCACCUCCCAGGCUCAAGCUAUCCUCCUGCCUCAGCCUUCCAAGUAGCUGGGACCACAGGUUCUCCCUCUGUCACCCAGAGCUGGAGUGCGGUGGCAUAAUCACAGCUAAUUGCAGCCUCAACAUUCCAGGCCCAAGGAUCCUCCCUUCAGCCUUCCAGAGUCGGGGGUCUCCCUAUGUUUCCCAGGCUGGCCUCGAACUCCUGACCUCAA